Molecule: long non-coding RNA, 2253 nt
Organism: Scylla paramamosain (green mud crab)
Lineage: Eukaryota; Metazoa; Arthropoda; Malacostraca; Decapoda; Portunidae
Exons: 3
Source: RefSeq, a predicted model, not a curated record
CUGGCCCGCCUCAGUGUGACUCAGGCCGGGGGAGGUGAUAGUCUGCCUCUCUGGUGCUCCCUCCGUUACUCGGGAGGCGCGACGCUGCCCGUGGGGGUUUAUUUCCCAUAGCGUUGCUGAUGAAGGAAAACUGGCCAGUUUAAGUGAAUUGCAUCCAGUGAGACAUGUGCUUCCCUUCCACCCAACACCCCGAAGCACUGACUAAAAAACUGAGCUCCCUUUAUCUGAACCUUCACUGUGGCAACAAAGACACACUAUAGAAAAAAAGGGCAAGGAAGGAAGGAAUAAACAGUACAAAGGCACCGGAAUAAGAUGAAGAGAACGUUACGGAAACAUCUGAGUGAAAAGGCGCGAAGCAGAGGUGCGAAGCAGUGCUCGGACCCGUCAUGAACCAGUGAGUCUGACGAGUGACUGUCACGAGGCGGCGGUGGCGGUUCAGUGCAUGAGUCGUGCGCUAGUUAUGUGAGACAACAGACCGUGAGGAGCUUGUGUCGUAUUGUGUAAGGAAGGAGGAGAAGGAGGAGGAGGAGGAGGGGAACGUGCGCUCCUCCCUACCGAUUGUCACUAACUUGAGGCACUCCACCGUCAGCAGAGCAGCGCCAUGGCCCACCCCAUUCCCAUGCAAGAGGACCACCAAGGUACAGUGCCGGCCUCAGUGUGUUUGUGUGGAGCGACUGGUGAUGUAGAGACGUGGUGGUGGCGUCCUGCUGGUGGUGAGUGUUCAUGUGUUCGCGCAGCACAACAAUCCCGAGAUAACAUUUUCAAAUGUCUCAGUGUCAUCUAGAAAAUGUUUCCGACGUCCUGGUGGACGUUCAGGGUUUUCAAAAGUGUUUUCAUGAAUUUAGCGAAGGUUUUAACAAAGACUCUACUUCUUUAAUGGCAAAACACUCAUGAGAGGCUGACUGUCAUCUGAACGGCCUUUGGAAAUAGUCGUUUUUAGAGACCAAUGUGUUUCAGAAUACGGGUGGCGUGGUGGUGCGGGGCGCGGCGGGCGAGGCCGGGCCAUAGCUAACGCCAUUGCGAUAACCCUUGCCUAAGUGUUAUUGGGCUAUUAAUUCAUAUCCGAUAUUCCGCACAGCUAAAUUCCUUUCCGUGCAACACAGAGACAACACGAGCAACACAGCUUGAUUGCCGCGUCUGUGUGCCUCAGGGGGCGUGUGUGGAGAGGUAGUACUGGCAGCCGUGAUCCCGCCACCACUCCAGGGGCCUCCGUACUUAUGGGUCGGAAAAAGAAAAAAAAAAAUAGAAAGUACGAAUAUUAAAGCAAAAAAUAUAUAUUCCAUAAAUGUCGUACUGACCAUGUAGAAAAUAUUAAUUCUGUAUUCCACUUUUUACAAUUUUAAUUAAUGUUCAAAAAAUGCUCCGUGGCAGUGGAGCGGCUACAUAUUUAAAUUUGACGUAUGCAAAUGUGCCCGAUUUGCCUAUAACUUUAUUUUUCUUUUUUUUCUGUCCGUGAGAGUAUCGGCAUAAUUACAGUUUAUUUUUAUACCCUCGCCAGCAUCGACAACGGCACUCACUAAUACUUAUUUGCUUGAGGCGGGCAGUGUUGCCAGCUCGUUCUCUUGUACUGUCCCUCACGUCACAUCCUCGUUCAGCACGUCUGGUUCCAUCAUUCCUCAUCAUUGGUCAUCAGGUUUAAUUAUAUUUAUUUAUUUUCGAUUUUCUUUGGUUUUGUUUUAUAUCAAUAUUGUUUCAAAUUCACAUUACUAUUCAUCUGGUUCGUUUUCUAUAACUUCCCAUCAUUAUUUACCUGACGUGUUCCUCUUACCGCAUAUUGUUGCUUAUUAUUCAUUCUGUAAUUUCAUAUUGUUAUUUCCCCUGUUUCUUUAAAUUCGCCUUGUUAUUUCUUUCGUUUCCGUUAUUUCACAGCGUUAUUGAUCUGCUUCGCUUCAUUCCUUUCUCAGCUUUAUUUUUGUAACUUCCCAUCGUUAUUUCCCCAUCAAAUCUGAGCUCAGUGUUACCAAUCCUAGUUGAGCUGCGGUCCGUUAACAGAAAGACGGGCCGUGACGUGAUUAUGAGUGGCAAAAAUGUAUCAGGCGGUAAUCUGGUGAGGCAGUAACAGUGGGGAAUAUGUUGAUGUGGUGGCAACAACGAGAUGGACGGCAGUGUGGUGAUGGUAACAGUGGGAUGAGCAGCAAUAUGGUGUCGCGGUAACAGUGGGGUAAAUGAUGGUGUGGUGGUGUGUGUGUGGUGGUAAUAGUGGUGGUGUGGUGAUGUGGUGCAGUGGGAUGAGUGGUGUGGUGGUGGUGGUGG